UACGGAGGAUCCAAGCGUUAUCCGGAUUUAUUGGGUUUAAAGGGUGCGUAGGCGGAGAAAUAAGUCAGUGGUGAAAGUUUGCAGCUCAACUGUAAAAUUGCCAUUGAAACUGUUUUUCUUGAGUGUAAAUGAGGUAGGCGGAAUGUGUUGUGUAGCGGUGAAAUGCUUAGAUAUAACACAGAACACCAAUUGCGAAGGCAGCUUACUGGGAUACAACUGACGCUGAGGCACGAAAGCGUGGGGAUCAAACAGGAUUAGAUACCCUGGUAGUCCACGCAGUAAACGAUGAAUACUAACUGUAUGCGAUAUACUGUAUGCGGUACAGCGAAAGCGUUAAGUAUUCCACCUGGGGAGUACGUUCGCAAGAAUGAA
RNAcentral lists this ribosomal RNA (372 nucleotides) under uncultured bacterium. RNAcentral describes it as "bacterial SSU rRNA". It matches the Rfam family "Bacterial small subunit ribosomal RNA", at positions 524 to 898 of the family's 1533-position model. The record is from RNAcentral.